Pelobates cultripes (western spadefoot toad) is the source of this 218-nucleotide non-coding RNA. The record is from the annotation of a GenBank genome assembly. NCBI's taxonomy places the organism in Eukaryota, Metazoa, Chordata, Amphibia, Anura, Pelobatidae.
CUACUACACAUUAUGCCAGAGAGAAUAUUGGUACAAGAAAAAGUGCUAAUUAUACAUAUUUUGAUGGCUACAAAAAAUGCUAUAACCAAUUUAUGGAAAACAAAACAUGUGCCAUCAUUAAGUAUAAUAAGGGAAAAGGUCUCUACUACCAAAAUCUACGAGGAGAUGGCAUGUAGGCUAAAAGGCAAACAAGAUAUUAAUGUUAAAAUUUGGGUGAG